This 82-nucleotide transfer RNA is filed under the name Ixodes scapularis (black-legged tick). It matches the Rfam family "tRNA". Rfam says of the family: Transfer RNA (tRNA) molecules are approximately 80 nucleotides in length. Their secondary structure includes four short double-helical elements and three loops (D, anti-codon, and T loops). Lineage: Eukaryota; Metazoa; Arthropoda; Arachnida; Ixodida; Ixodidae. The record is from Rfam by way of RNAcentral.
GCAGCCGUGGCCGAGUGGUUAAGGCGAUGGACUAGAUAUACUUUGGGGUCUCCCCGCACAGGUUCGAAUGCUGUCGACUGCG